GGAUGGGUGGCCGAGCGGUUUAAGGCUCCAGUCUUGAAAACUGGCGUGGAGGCAACUCCACCGUGGGUUCGAAUCCCACCCCAUCCGCCA
This 90-nucleotide transfer RNA is filed under the name Azospirillum argentinense. RNAcentral's name for it is "tRNA-Ser". It matches the Rfam family "tRNA". From Rfam's summary of the family: Transfer RNA (tRNA) molecules are approximately 80 nucleotides in length. Their secondary structure includes four short double-helical elements and three loops (D, anti-codon, and T loops). Further hydrogen bonds mediate the characteristic L-shaped molecular structure. tRNAs have two regions of fundamental functional importance: the anti-codon, which is responsible for specific mRNA codon recognition, and the 3' end, to which the tRNAs corresponding amino acid is attached (by aminoacyl-tRNA synthetases). tRNAs cope with the degeneracy of the genetic code in two manners: having more than one tRNA (with a specific anti-codon) for a particular amino acid; and 'wobble' base-pairing, i.e. permitting non-standard base-pairing at the 3rd anti-codon position. The record is from RNAcentral. Lineage: Bacteria; Pseudomonadati; Pseudomonadota; Alphaproteobacteria; Rhodospirillales; Azospirillaceae.